AUCUACUAAAAAUAAACUGAAUCUAAUGAAGUACUGAAAUGAGAAACAUCCUCGGAUGAUGAGGACUUACUUAAAGUCUACUGCUGCUAACUGAGUCUGGACUGCUAAGGGUACUCUGGAUCUCGUACUUCUAAACCUAUGGCAUCAAAUAAAACACCAUAGCACAAAUGUGUCAGUAAAUUUAAAUGUACUGAGUAUGCAAAUGGGGUAAAGCUAAAUACAAGGUCUUAUGCAGGAACACAACUUAACUGAAUGAUAUGCAAGAGCUGGAUUAACAUAUAUAGAGAAUCUAUAACUACUUAACAUACUGUGACUGAGCAUAAUAGGACUGAAUCUAAUAACUGAUACUGAAUCUGAAACUAAUACCCAUACUUAUUAAUACUGAUAAACUAGAUGACUAAGUCUACUGAUAAUGGAUAUCGACUGGAUAAAUCUGAGAUCAAACCUAUCUAGCGGGAUGAUCUCUAGAUCUUCUAAUAAUGAUUAAGAUUUACUAAGCUUGAGAUCAGGCCAAACUGAUGGGUGAUCUAUGGAACUGAUAAUGAUAAUACUCAACUAAAUCUGAGACUGAGAUCAAGCCUACUUGAUGGGUGAUCUCGGUAAGUAUUAAUACUAAUUAACUUUCUAUGAGACCAAGUCUAUCUAAUGGGUGGUCCAUGUAUCACUAGAACUAUCUGAGUUCCUUACUGAGAUAGAUGAUUGUAUCUGACAGUCCUGAUUUUUGAGUUCUACUCUGAAGACUACUCUGCACUAGUGGGGUCCAACCUAUAACCCCAGCUGGAAGGGUGUCAAUACUAUGCCACAGGUAAAGACCUCUCUUGUCAAGCCUCUCUAAUGGAUGACCCUUAAGAGGAAUUCAGCCUAAGGCUAUGUGGACUCCUGCAGGUAGUCAAGCCUUUAUCUGACAGGUGACUCAUCAUCCUGCGCUGGCUACGUAGUUCUGGAGUAUAGGUAUUUCCACUAACGACUCCGCCUCUCUAAUGGGGAAACCGCAUCCUGCACUCACUCGGUGUUAGUACUCCCAACUUAAAGACUCUGAACUGAUCCUUAACUGAACUUAGACUGAGCUAAAUAGUUUUACCGAUUAUCUUACUUGACUGAUCUGACUAAGUCCCCUUGGUUCUGUUAUCUGAUGGAAUAAGUCUGAAUUAUACUUUUUUUCUGAAUACUACGGAGUUCUGUAACUCACUAAUCUUUACCCCCAAGACUCGAUGGAAGGAAACUGACAAACAUGACUUUUUAAAUAUAUAACCAACAUCCAUAUCACAAGAAUAAUCUAUCACAUCAAUAUCAUAACAAUAGUCUAUGAUUUGCAACAUUAUCAAGGAAGUAUCACUUCAAGCACUUGGGAACAUUCACCAUGUAAAUUGUAUAUAAAGGCAAGCUAUUGUCUCAUGAAUUACUCAACAAUGAAAAUCCACAUGAAUAGGAAGCAUAUGCAACAUACUAUUCUUCAUUCAUCUUGGUGUUACAACACACACUAGAAAUGUAUUACUUGUCACAAAUUUGAGGUUUUAUACCUAAUAUGCCACAAUGGUACUAUUUUCUUAAUAUAAGUAUUCUACCAAACAUAUGAGAGGCACACUUUGGUCAUACAACAAUUCAUUACCCCUAAUUAACAUGAUUACAUAAUUUAACAUGCUUCUUGAAGAGGCUUUGUCAUGAAUAACACAUAAUCAACACAUACUAGGGUCAAAGUUUGCAUCUUUACAAUCAAGACAUGAAUUAAAACUCAAUAACAACAUGAACUUCAUCCUCAAUUCACAUGUAUCAUAAAAUCUCAUAAAAAUGUAAACUUAAGAAUUUUAUAAAGGGUUCUUAAACUUCUUGGGUGGAAGGAACCCAAGAAUCAAAAAUUGCAUACCUUAAUUUCUUGAUUUUUGGAGAGACUUGAUAGAGGAAUUAUUGAGUUCUUGAACCUUUGGUUUGAAACCCUAGGUCGUUCCUGAGAGAAAAUUGAGAGAAAACCUUAUAAUUUAGGUUGAAUGAGGCUAAAUCUUGAAAGAGAUCAAAUGUUUCUUUAAGGUUCUUGAAGAAAUUCUGAGGCUUGUUCUUGAUUUUUCUUGACUAGGGUUUAACCCCUUUGACAGAGAAUGUUUUUGUUUUUAAGGAGAUGAUCUUGAGAGAAAACCCUAAUCUUAUGAUUGAGAAUGUUUGAGAGAAUUUUUUAGAUGCUUAACUGAAGAAAAAUAGGAGAAAGUUAAGUCUCUUGAGGUUUAUAAGUUGUGGGAGGUGAAGGUAAAGACCAAAAUACCCUUAUGAAACCACUUCCCAAUUGCUAAAAAUCUUAGCUAAUGACCAAGGCUGAAAUGUCGUCAAAUUUGUGAUAAGUCAUCACAAAUGUCGUAACUUAGGAGCUGAUUUCUGCCUAAGGCUGACGAUAUUUGUGAUAAGUCAUCACACUUAUGAUAAGUUAUCAGAAAUGUUGUCACUAGGGGCUGGAUUUUGCCUAAAGCUGAUGACAUUUGUGAUAAUUCGUCACACUUGUGAUAAGUUAUCAGCAAUGUUGUCAGUCAGUUUUCCAGCCUAACAUGCUGGAGUAAAAUGGGUAUAACUAUUUUCUCCGAUAUCGGAUUUGGGUGAAAUUGGUAUCGUUGAAAAUAUAAUUCAAAGAUAUUUCAUUUGACAUAUAGUAGGUCCUCUAAUUCUGUAUAUACAAUUAGUUAUGGUUGAUUAAAGUUGACCCAAGUUUUGAUGCUCACUAAAACUUGAACGAUAGGAAAGCUUGCAACUUGUCUUUGAGUUAGGAACCUCAAUGAUCUUAAUUCAUUCUCAAAUAGAUUCUCACACUACAUAAUUGAUUAACAUACUAAAUAUACAUAGGAUUUGAGGCUUUUGGAACAUUUACACAUAUGAAUGAUGAAUUUUCAUUUUAGUCCAAAAUGUGGGGUGUUACAGGCCUCGUAUUAAUUUGGUAUUAGUAGCUUUCAUUAGUGCUAAGAAUCACUUCAUCAUUGUCUUUAUUUCACUUAACUAGCAUGCUAAAGCAAUAUUACAAACAUCAAUCUAGCCCUAAUGAUUUUCCAUCUUGUAAAAACUUUUGGCAAUAGCUGUUUUGGUCAUGAUAGUAAAUUAUGUCCUUGGAAAUGGAUUUGUUACUAUAUUUUUUUAGAGUAUCUCUCCUUCUACAGUGCCUAACAAAUAGUGUCUGGUGUAAUUCUAUUAAGAAGUUUCCACAUAGCAUUAUUGGUGCUUAACUUACACCAAUUUGAAAGACUUUGAUUGAUAUUGUUACUGUCAAAAUAUACUCCAAGAGGUCUAGAGAUCAUAUCACAAAUCUGUUUAUCCAUGUAUCCAGGGGAAAAUAAGUGAUUGUAAUAUUCCUAUCUUGUGACCUUGCAACAAACAUAAUUAAUAUUAGUAUCAAUGCUGAAUUUAGAUAGAGAAUUUCCUUUUUGGUCAAAUAGAAAUUUUUUAUUAAAACACCAUCAUGUUACUCACUAUUGCAACCUACAAGAAACAUCUAGUGUAGAUAAAAUAAAUGCUUCUACACUUGCGACCAACUCAAUAAAAUUAAAACAUACUACUUACAAUGUGCCUAUACUGCUCAGCAUCCUAUCUAUUCAUGCUCUAUCUUUAAUUUCUUCUUCUUCUAUAAGUUCUAUAUAACUCUAUCCAUGUAUUCUAGUUAAAUAUGAUUGCAUAUCAACAGUGGUCUAGGGAUCCUAUGAUUCCAAAAAGCUGAGUUCCUAGCCAUCCAUACGUGAUAAAUACAAGCUACUAAUAUUGCCCAUAUCGGGCUUCUACUAAUUUUUCCAAUGCACUUUCUUGCCAUCCUUUUCCGUAAUCCUUUGUUAUCCUAAUUUGGUACCUUAAUCCUUACCCAAUCUAUCAAAAUAGAUAGACAUCUUUUGGAAAAUUCACAUUGGAAAAAGAUAUAAGCAGUGUCUCCUUAGCUACUCCACAUAAAAGGCAGUUCUUCUUUUGGGUUACUCCCGUUUUCUUGGGUCUAUCUCUUAUAAGUAUCCUAUUUUUUAUGGAUAACCAGAUAAUAAAAUAGUUCUUAGGAACACUAACAAUGUUCCAAAUAGGUCUCUUGUAAUGCCAUUUUAUACUAUCUCGCCUUCUCCAGGUAUACUCAUUCUUCACAAUGUAUUUGUCUAUAGCUUGAUUCCAACCAUUCCCAUUGUACCCAUCCUAGAUUUCAUCCCUAACCCUAUAUAUUUUCUUCAUAUACCCUGCAUAUGUGCUCAGGUCUCAUUGUGAUCAUUUUUGCAGAAUAAUCCUCCUGAUGUGAACUCAAAAAAUGCUUGAAGUAGAACUUCAAUAAGGCAUUGACCCAUUAUAUCAUGCUACAAUGUGAUUCUAAUCUUUUUAUGUUUUCAUUUAAGUGCUAAUUUAUAUUAUUUGUUCUCUUUUUAUAGGUGUCCAAAAUGAAAAAAGAGAUGAAUAAAGUGAUGAAGAUAUUGACCUUACUUGAGAAGAUUUUUGGGUUGUGGAUAAAUGUUCUAAUAUCAAUAGUUUUGUAUUGAAUUUUUUGAAACUCAUCGUUACUCAAACUUGCUACUAUGUAAAAACUUAACUAAUCAUUUGGACCUGAUUACAUUUUGCUUUUUGAUUUAAAUUACUAGGUUGUUGCAUAUUUUAAAUUAUGAGAUUACUAAUGAAUGAUUUUAUGUUGUGAUGUAUAUAUAUUGUGUUAUAAUUAAUUUAUUAUGUAUGUAAAUAAAAAUUUAAUUUAUGUUAAUACGAGUGGCUAUUUAUAUAAAUCAUUUCAAUUUAAUAACAUGUGGCAAAAAUCGUUGCAAUAGAUCAAUAAACCAUUGCAAUAGGUAGUCAAAAAGUGUUGCAACAGAAUAACAAAAGCGUCACAAUAGAUGCUAUUGCAAUGAUUUAAUGUUAUUGCAAUAGAAUCUAUUACAACGGUUAGUAACCAUUGGAAUAGAUGAAAAUAGGCAUCCCAAUAAGUAAUGAAAAAGUUGUAAUAGGUACUCAAAAAGCAUUGCAACAGAAUAACAAAAGUGUCGCAAUAGAAGCUAUUGCAACGGUUUAAUGUUGUUGCAAUAGACUCUAAUGCAACAGUUGCUAACCAUUGUAAUAGAUGAAAAUAGGCAUCUCAAUAAGUCAAAAAAUAAACAUCAUUAUAGCUUGACCUAUGGCGACGGUUUUAGACAACCAUCGCCAUAGCUUGACCGUCCCAUAAACCGUUGUCAUAAACCUAUCGCAACUCCCACAUAUAAGACAUUUGCUGAAGCGUUGCGGUAGAGCUAUGACAGCGUUUUUGUUAUCUAUAGAAACGGUUUUCCAACCUUCACCAUAGGGGUUAUUUCCAGUAGUGAGAACAUUUAUAAAACUCAAAGAAGUCUAUAAAACUAAGUAAUAGUGGAAAGUCACAAACUUUGAACAAACAUCAUAACCAAAGACAUCUAUAGAACUCAGUCCAAGAAACCUCUAAUCAUGGCUAAACUAUCAGGGCAAGGCCCCAAUGAUACCAUUAAAUUAAAAUAAACUGAAUUCCUAAAUAACACGUCUUUCGAAAAAUGGAUGGCCUACCCACCCUUAUGUUUCAGGAGAUCCUAAAAUAAUGUUGGACCACGAGAUUGUACCUCAAAACCUACAUUAUGAGUCAAUACAGUCACCCGAGUAUGGUCAAUACUUGGAAUGUAUUAGCAUAUAGAACAACCCAAAACACCAUAUACUUUACAUAAAAUAGAUAAGAGUGUAAGAAAAUAAUUUACAAUAUAGAAGUCGAAACACAUGGGCAUGAAUAAAAGCUUCAAACAAUCUCCUAAAACAUAGACUCAAUUCUUCUCUUUACCUCAUAGGAUAUAUGGUUCCGGCAUUAAAUCAUCAGUCAAGCCUCCAAUCCAAGUUUGCCGAAAGGAUUGGGGUAUCUAUAUACUGGCAUACCAAAGGCACAAAGAAAGUAUACCAUGACUAUCCAUAUUUUAGGAUAGAGUCAAUCCUGCAUCGGCAACACAUGAUUUCAGGCGAUGAGUCUAUCCAACUAGUGUCUUCUCAAUCAACCAUCUAACUCUCUUUAAGCCUAUUUACAAUUUAUUUAAAACAUUCGUCAUUCAACAAAAUUCAUCUUUUUUCUCUAAGGGUAUUCUCUUAUUUUGGUAUCAUUAUAACAAGAUUUAUAAGUCAUAUAAAUCAUAUUAUCUCCUCUUUAGCCCUUUAUUCAAUAACAUAUCAUUGACCACAAAAAUAAUUCAAUUAAAAAAUAAGAUUUCUCUUUCAAAAUUGUUAUGCAAGCUUAAGUAAAACACCUUUCUUUUAUGGAAUCUUUGUAACCCUUAAAAGUGGUCAUCUCUUUCAUAAAUUCAUACAAUUGUCAUGGGAAACAAAGAACACUUAAACUAUAAAAAAAAACCUUUGAAUCCAUAUAAAUAAAUAAUGUAUAAUUUGAUAAACGAUACAUUUGAAACUUAAUAUUUUCACCAUUCAUCAAAUAAUCUACAACACUAGUCAAAUGCAUAAUUCUCAUUAUAAAAAGAUAUUUAUAAUUUAUGUUCUUCAAAUAAUUUCAAAAUCCAUAUCAUUUAUAUAUAUAAUGUAGAGUACAUAUAAUGUGGAGUACAGGAAAAUAUGAUUUUCAAGUCCAUGAGUAAUAAUGUCACUCUACAUAUCUUCUAAUAACAAAAACUCGAUCAACAAUUUAUCCUUAGAGCCUUAGAGUUUUGAACCCUAGUUAGUUUCUUUCUUUAUUGAUUUAUGGAUGUUUACCAAGUGAUUUGGAUUAAAUGGAAUUGUUCUUAAAAACUUAAUAGCAUAUGGGUGAAUGGAGAACGUCUUAAGGGUGUAAAAUAACCCAAACACCCCUAAAAUAUCAUUAAAAUGAUGCCCUAUAGACGAAUAAAGGGGGUGUUGUACAACCUCUAGUGCGGGGAAGAAACCUCGCAGAGCAAACCCUAGCACGAGUUGAGCCCCUCAUGGUGUGGGUCUUCUUUGUGGGUGAUGCAGUGACCUUCCGUGAUAGCCCACGUGCCACGAUCUAGCACACAGUGUCUCACUUGCGGUGCAUGGCCCAUUUCGCAUCUUAAAUUACCCCAACACUUCCAAACCCAUCCCCAAGGUAGUUCUUAGCUCUAUUUAUGUGUCAAUACACGGGGUAUUACAUAUUCCCUUCAGCAAGAAAAAGAGGACCAAAAAGGUUGUUGAUGGUCAAUACUAUGGGUGGUAGAAGACUCGAAUGCACAAUUUCAUAAUGGUGAAAGAUAGAGAAUUGUGUGACAUUAUAUGUGAUGGACCACACAUUUCCAUGACAGAAGAUCAAGUAAGGAACUGUUAUGAAACUAGUCCCCAGGAAAUAAAAGGAGUAUGAUAAAGAUGAUCAGAAAAAGAUUUUAAAAAGCUACAAAGCAAAAAAAUUUCUUAUUUGUGGAAUAGGUCCGAAUGAAUACAAUAGAAUAUCUACAUAUGAAUUUGCAAAGAGAUUUGGGACAAUUUGAAGACUACUCAUAAGGGAACAAGUCGGGUCAAAGAGUCAAAAAUUGAUAUACUUAUCACACAGUAUGAAGUUUUCACUAUGAAAGAAACUGAGACCAUUUAAGAAAUGCACACAAGGUUCACUGCUAUUACAAAUGAGUUGUACUAUCUUUGAAAGGUAAUUCCACCCAAUAAACAAGUGAGAAAAAUACUUGGUGUUUUACCUAAGUUGGGGAAAAGCACAGUCGUGUUAUCAUAGAGGCUCGAAAUCUCAAAACUCUUACAAUGGAUAGAGUGAUUGGUAAUCUCAAGACAUGUGAACUAAAAAAAAACCAAGACCAAGAGCAGAAGAGCCCAAGAAAGAGAAAACUCUGUCUCUUAAGGCCUCAAAAAUUGAUUCUAGAGAAGAUGAUGAGAAUGUUUCUUACUUAGCUCGAAGGUUCAGAAAAUCUAUGAAAAGAAAUGGUGAAUUCAGAAGAAAAAAAUACUACCAAGUCACCAAAGAGAAAUGAAUGUUGUCACAAAUGUGGUAAACCAAGUCAAUUUAUUAAGGAUUUCCCAAUGCACAAGAUGGAAUGAAAAGAUUAUAUCAAGGCAAGAGGAAAUAAAGGUAAAAGGAAGGAUCGAGUCCUCGACAUAUGUAAGAGAAGGGUAGCAAUAGACAAUAUGGUCAAACAAAUAUUAGCUACUUGGGGGGACUCAUCAAGUAAGUCUAAUAAGUCAGAGCAUCUAGAAGAUGCUUCUAUGAUGGAUGUGGAAUAAAAUGAUAACAUUUACAACUCGUUUUUUGCUCUUAUGGCUAAAUCAAAUAAUGAUGAAGAUGAAGAGGUAACCGUUCUUGACAUUAAGCAAAACCUCAAUGACUAUUUCUUUAAAAAAAAAUUGAAAAGCCUAGCAAAUGUUUUGAUUGAUUCUUUGUGUGGGAUCACUACUGAGAAAGAUUUUCUUGAAGAAAGUCUAGAAAAUUGUUAAAAUGAAGAAAUUACUUUAAUUCAAGUUUUUGAGUUGGGAGAAUAGUUUCAAAAUUUGUCCUCUAAAGUGUUGAAAUGAAAGAAAAAAUGAGAAAUUUUUCUGAGUCAGUUCCCAAAGGAAUAUUUGAGGAUAGUUGUCUUUAAAUUGAUAUUGAAGAAAGGCUGAACAAGUCCUAAGGACAUCGUCCUUCCUCUAUUAAGAUAAAUGCUAAACUAAAGAGGGACAUGGUCUGUAUUAAGGAAGAACUAAACAAAUCUCUGAAAUAGACUGCAUCUUCUUCGAUUUUAUCUAAUCUGAUUAGUUAGAGAUCAAACAAUGGAAAAAGUCUAUGCUGUCAAAAUGUUAAUCCCUAUUAUAUUCCCACAACAAAUAUUUGUCUUUGUCUAACAAUUUGUAGUGUACACACUAGGGAAGAAAAGUGCAUUUAAAAAGGGAUUGUCAAGACAAGUUAAGGGAUGAAAUGAGUUUGACUAGUCAUGUAUAGCAGGAGUGGCUAAUUAAAAAGGGGCCUAGUCCCUUUUCAGCAUUUAAGAAAACUAGGUUUUCUGUCUAGAUAAAUAAAAUUUUAACUACUCUCAUGUCCCCCUUUUGGGAACUUACACUUAAAUGGCUUUCCAAACCUAAAAAAUAAUCUUUAUGUGUAGGAAAGAGUAAGAUAAAAGUAGAAACAAUUGGUUUAUGGAUAGUGGAUGUUCCAAGAAUAUGACUGAAAGUACUGAAUGCUUCAUUUCACUCAAGGCACUUCAAGGUGGAGGUGUCUCAUUUAAAGAUAGAAAAAUGGGAUAUAUUCUAGGUGUUUGCAAAAUUGGAAAAUAUCUAGCUCGCACUAUUGAAAAUAUGUAUUAUGUGAGUGUUUUAAAGUAUAUUUUGCUCAAUGACUGUCAAAUUUAUGAUAAGGUUAUUUAAGUUAAAUUCAUGUUUGAUUGUUGCGCUAUCACCUAUCUCCAAUCUAGUGAGGUCAUUCUUUGAGUCGAGAGAUUCAAAAACAUGUAUAUUGUUGAUCUGGAUUUAGUUCUUGGUUAUGAUAUUACUUUUCUAAGUGAUCAAGGUAAAAAUGUUGACUUAUGGCAUAUAAGACAUGUCCAUGUUAGCUUCUCACUUCUUUGCAAGUUUGUCAGAAAGGAUCUGGCCUGUGGUGUUCCCAAUUUGCAAUUUUCAGACAUCAAGAUAUGUGAUGUUAGCUCAUUACUUCUUAACAAUUUGGUCACAAAGGACCUAGUAUGUAGUCCUAAGUUUUAAUUUUUAGAUAUCAAGAUAUAUGAUGCAUGUGUCAAAGGAAAACAAAUUUUGUCCUCAUUAAAACAAAAGAAGCAAGCUAGUACCACUGGGCUUUUUAAGCAACUUCACAUGAACUUAUGUGGAUUUAUAAAAUUUCAAAGUAGAGGAGGAAAGAAUUAUAUCUUGGUCAUCAUGAUGAUUUCUCAAGGUACACACGAACCAUGUUCUUGAGGUCCAAAGAUGAAACUUUUAAAAUAUUGGUAAUUUUUGUCAAGUAAAUCCAAGUGAAGUUGGAUAGCAAAAUUACAAGGAUCAGGUUUGAACAUGGAAUAGAGUUUGAAAUUACAAGGGUUGAGGAUUUUUGUGUAUAAUAUAGAAUUAUUCAUAAUUUUUUGGCUCGCAGAACUCCUCAGCAAAAUGGUGUUGUUGAAAGGAAAAACAGGACCUUAGUUGAUAUUUCCAGAACUAUGCUAAUUGAUGCUGGUCUUUCAAAAAGCUUGUAGGCUAAAGCAGUUAACACUGAAUGAUAUGUUACAAUAGAUGUCUUAUAAUAUUUAUUCUCAACAAGAUUCCCUAUGAAUUGUUUUUCAAAAUAAAGCCAAACACAACUACUUCAGGGCUUUUGGGUGCAACUAUUUUGUAUUGAACAAUGGCAAGGAUGAUCUUGCCAAGUUUGAUCCCAAAAGUGAUGAAAGAAUAUUUAUAGAUUGCUCAUCAACUGAAAAAUCCUACAGAAUCUAUAACAAAAGAACUCUUUAUGUUGAAAAAGUGUUCAUGUCAUAUUUGUUGAGUUAGGAGAUAUUGAAAAAUUGAAAAAUGUGGAUGAUGUAGACAUGGAGGAAAUCAUUCUAAUUCAAAAAAAUGGCCCUGUUGUAGUAAAUAAUAAAGAACAAGAUUAUCAAGAUGUUGAAAAUGAUGCAAAUGAUAUAGGAGAAAAACCAGGUCCUCAACAAGAUCCUUUUGAACAUAAUGUUUCACAGCAUGUCUCACAUGACCAAGCUGUUGAGGGUCUUGGUAGCAUUCAACCAUAGUCAACCAUAAAAUGGUCUAAUUAUAAGCAUAAUUCAUCUGACCCUCUUGAGAAUCUCACCUCACCCUUGGACUCUGUUAUGCAAGCUAAGGCACAAGCAAGGAGUUUAGUUAUCUUUUCCCGCAUUCUUAUCCACCAGUAUACAUUGUAUGUAAAUAUGCGUGUAUAUUUUUGAAGUACUAUGACAAGUAAUGUAUUCUAUGUUUCAACUUUCAAGUGGUAUUUUAAGUAGUAUAUAUUGUAUCUAUAUGUGUAUAUAUUUUCUAUAGACUAAAGUAGUAUAUAUGAAUGUAUACAUGUGUAUAUGUUUUCUAAAGUAGUUCAUAUAUAAUGUAUAUAUGUUGUAUGUAUAAUUUAUAAUGUAUAAUGUUGUAUUUUAAGUAGUAUAUAUUUUAAAUAUGUGUAUAUAUAUUUUCUAUAGACUAAAAUAGUAUAUAUUUAAUGUAUACAUGUGUAUAUAUUUUCUAAAGUAGUAUAUAUAGUAUAUAUAUGUAUAUAUAUUUUCUAUAGACUAAAGUAGAAUAUAUGUAAUGUAUACAUGUGUAUAUCUUUUCUAAAGUAGAAUGAAUGUAAUGUAUAUAUGUUGCAUGUAUAUUGUCUCAAGUAGUAUUUUAAGUAGUAUAUACAUUAUAUCGCAUGUAUAUAUGUGUAUAUAUUUUUCAUAGACAAGUAGUAUACAUUUAAUGUAUACAUGUGCAUAUGUUUUCUAAAGUAGUAUAUAUGUAAUGUAUAUAUGUUGUAUGUAUAAUGUUUCAACUAUCAAGUGGUAUUUUAAAUAGUAUAUAUUGAACGUAUAUUGUUUCUAAAAGUAUUUCAACUAAUUGUAUAUAUAUUUGUAUGUAUUUUUCUAAUGUACUAUAAUAUAUAACGUAUAUAACUUGUAUAUAUAUUAUUUCAUGUAGAAUUUAAACACAUAUAUGUUGAAUGUACUUAUGUGUGUAUAUUUUUUAAAGUGAAAAUUGAAUGUAGUACACGUAUGUUUACUAAAAUAGUAUGAUAUGUAAUGUACAUAUGUUAUAGUUUAUUAUUUAACGUAUUUAAUAGUAUAUAUAUGUGUAUAUAUAGUAUAUAUUGAAAAAAUCAUGAAAAUUCAAACUUAAUUUAACUUAUUUUUUUAAAACAUUAAGGACCAGUAACCAGCCCAUUACUCAAACUAGGCCGAUUGAAUCGGUAAAAAUAGAUAAAACAGUAAACUGGGCCAAUCACGAGCCGUUUGUCCAUUAUUUACUAUUGGGCCCAGUACGGGCCGAACCAUUAAGAAUAGGGACCAGACCAAAUCGGCCCACAGCCCGAUAACUUUUACUGGGCCGGUACUGAUUUGAAUUGGACCGGCCCGAUUGACACCCUUAAUCUAAAUCAUAUCUUUUAUAGGUGGUGUAUUACUCUACAGAAUAUACUUGAUGAUUAGAUCUAUGUAAGUGGGAAGUGGGGUCACUCCUAUAAAAUUAUGAUAAAUGUCCAGAGAACUCAUGAAUAUCAGGACAAACGCAUGGCCUUUUAGUGGAAAACCGUGAUAACAACAAAGAUUGUGCGGUAUAGUGUGAUAGAAUAAGACCAAAAAUUUACAAAAGAAUUCUUGAUUCAUACAAGUUAUAAACUUCACCAACUAUUCUCUAAGUUCAAUCUUGUUUUAUCUAGGCCUGAUUCAUAGUCUACGGACAUCAUAUUCGAUGCAUUGUACUCAUACUCCCUCGGUCUCAUAUUACUUGGCAUGUUUGUCAAAAAGAAUAGUCUCAAAAUAGUUGACAUGUUUAAAAAAUCAAGAGAUAAUUGAGCACCUUUUUCCAGCUUUACCCUUAGUAAUUUAAUGAAAGUAAUUAACUCAAAUAAAUUUUACAACCCUUAUAAAAUUUCUCCUUAAGAAUUGUGGAUAAAGCAAACAUGUCAAAUAAUAUGAGUCGGAGGGAGUAUGUGAGAACCCAACAAAACUUCUUAUUACGCACGUGCAUUAGUUUCUUUAAUAUUAUUUUUGAGAUAUAUAAGAAAUUAUUAUAUAUUUUUAGUUAUCUCGAAAAUAAAUUGUAAGGAUUUUCUUGAUUAUUUCUAGCCAUAAGUAAUAGCUAUUAUUAUAAUAUUUUAAACCACUUUAAAUAACCAUUACUUCUAUUUUUAAUGGCCUUAUUUGACAUUUGUAACAACCACUAAUUUACCCAAGUUUUGGAAGUUUUCCUCAAAUGUCACUUAUGCUUCAUUUAGGAUCCAAGUUUUGGAAAUUUCCCUCAACCAUUAACAACCUAAAUAGUCACCCAAGUUUUAAAAAUUUCUCUCAAAUGUCACUUAUGUAUCUUUUAGGAUCACUAUAUCGCUUAACUAUCAUUUUUUUUUUCAAAAAAUAUUAAACACCUCAAAGGUCUUUUUCUCUCUUAGUUGGCAUGCCAUGUCAUUAAAACCUCUUUUUAAAAAAUACUAAAUUUAUUUAACUCAUUUAAUCAAAAUAUCAUUAUAUUCUAUUUAUUUUUUGAAAAAAUUCAUUAGUUUAUUAAAAAAUAAAUUUUUAUAAUUAGAAAAUUUUUAUCGAUACUAAAACUUGAUAUAUAUUUUUUUCAAGGGUCAUUUUUUUGAAUGGUCACUCGUAUUUUUUGAAUUGCCUACAAAAAUUAUUUUUAUUUUUCUAUAGAUAAUAAUGUGACUCAACUAUCACUAUUAUUCUCAAAAAGAGAAAAAACUAAAUAUCUUCUACGUCUCUAUCUCUUCUACACUGGGUGUUGUUGUGUUGUUGUCUCUAUCUCUUCUAAUUGGCAUGUCAUGUAAUUAAACUAUUUUUUUUUUAAUGAUACACAUAUUUAACCCAUCAAACUUAUUUAGUCAAAAUUAUAUUCUUAUUCUUUUUUAAAAAAAAACAUUAAUUAAUUAAGAGUGAAUUUUCAUGCUUAGGAAUCUUUUACCAUUACUUAAACUUUCGAUUUUUUCUUAAAUUAUUUUCUUGGAUUGUUAGUCAUGUUUUUGGAGUCGCUUAUAAAAAUCACUUUUGUUUUUGCGAAGACAAUAAUUGUAGACACCUAAUUUUGUCCCUCCCCGAUAUCAUUUUUACCCAUUUUACCUUAUCCUACCGUGUACCCCCAUCCAUGUUAUUAUACCUUCCAUAAAAUAAUAAAAAAUAACAACCCCUAACUAAUUUUAUUUUUAUUCUAACAACCUAUCCAAUCAAAAAUAAUCAACCACUACCCCACCUACCCUAACAAAUUUUAUCCUAACCAACUCACCCUACCCUACCUCACUACCCUAGAUCCCCUUCCCUUUCCUUUAACAGAAUUAUAUACAAGAGGGACCCACAGAAGAUUCCAUAAUUUUACUCUACAUACACCUGUACAUAUGCACAAAAGAGGGACCCCAUUAUGAUUAUUUUUUUCACAAGAAAGAGACACAAAACAAGAUUCCAUAUUUUUUUUCUUCCUGACCAAUUCAUAUAUACACAAAAGAGAACAAAUACAAAAUACACACAGAAAUCUUCUCCACCAGGAAAAUCACACACUCCUUAGUGACUCUCACUCUCACAGAUAACACAUAUACACAUUCACUUCCAUUUCCAAAAAGAGAGGAAUCACUGAUCCUCACCAAAUACACUCACUACCCUCUCAUCAUUGCACACACGCAUAGUAGAGUUCGAGAAAGAGAUGAGGACGGAUAGCAAGUAGGAACAAUGAGGAGGGAUAGAUUAAGAGAUCUGUGAGAGAGACAUGGAGAGGAGAUUGUGAAAUUGAAGGAGAGAGGUAGAAAUGGAUAUUCACUGACUGUUUUGGUGAUUUCUCACCAGGGAACAUCGCCGGUCGCCGUCCAAAUCCAACGGUGUUCUGUGAAAACUCAUUUGAAGUUCCACAGAUCUGUCAGAAAACAAACAAAUUAGGAUUCAUUUGAGAUCGUUCUUAGCCUAAUUGGAGUUUUAGGUUCAUCGGAUUGGAGAUUCGAGGCGCAGAUUCAUUGUUGAGGUUCAAGUAGAGAUUUUUGGAUGCGGUUUCGAUAUUUGGUCACGUAAUUUUGUCUAAUAAAGCUUCAAUUAAGGUCCGAUUCUACUCUCUCACUCUUUUUGUUUCAUUGUUAAUUAUAUCCGGUGCAUUAAAUUCAAUAUUAUGUGUUAUUUGAUCAUCGUUGGUGAUGAAGGCGUGUUUAUUUUGAUUCGUGGUUGGUUUUUCUUGAUUAUGGUUUGGUGAGAUGGUAUCCCGAUUGAGAAUAUUGUUGAACACGAUAGUAUCAUGAUUAGGUCGUUAAUUCUAUAGGCAAAUUCUAGGUUUUCGGAUAGGCAACUUGUAGGAUUUUAAUCAUCGAAUGUGUAAAUGUUUGUGCUGGGUGAUUUUUCCAUUUUUAUUGUAUUAAAAUAUACUCAUUUGGCCGGGGAAUGCCCUGUGAGAUUGUAUUGAUUUAUUCGGGGAAUGCCCUGAUUAUCAUGUAUGCAAAGGAGGUUCGUGAUGAAUAUCUGAGGCAUCGGAUAAAGCAUUGGAACAUAGUCUAGGAUUAGUUUAGAGUAGGAUUUACACUUCUAUAUUUUUAAUUUUUCGGGACUGUAUAAUUGGACUAAACAUUAUUAUUUUGGUUUUGAGUUAUUUUUUGAUGUGUUUGGUGAUUGUUUAUGAGUUUUACGUGGUUUACACAUUUGUAAUGUCAAAUUAGUUGAUAUGCUCCAUCAAGCAACCGUGGUCGAACCAUGGGAUCGAGGGAUGCCUACACCUUCCCCUCGGUCAACAGAAUUUCUUAACUGGAAUCUCUGUUCGCAGAUCAGUUUUAGAGUCAAACCAUUUUGAAAAGGAUUUUCAAAGGUGACUUGGCACACCUGAUUUAUGCCAAGUGGCGACUCUGAGUUUUGAAUAUAAAUAAUUCUUUUUGAAAUAAAUUUUCACUUUUUGUCACAUUGAUAAUAAAACCCUUUUGACUCUUAAAUGAUAAUCUUUUUGGUUGAAAAAAAAGGGUGUGACAGCUCUGGCGACUCUGCUGGGGACAUUUUCAGAAUUCAAGCUUAUUUUUUGGUGUUAUAUCGUCUUAAUUUGGUGUUGUGGGUGUAUAGACGUUGUUUGUGUUAUCGUUAGUGUUAUUGUUUUUUUUAGUGCCUACGUGCUCUUUGUUUACAUUUUUUCUCUAUGUGUUACCGUUUUAUAUCUGGCAUCAUGUGCAUAAUCCGAGUCAUUCUUUCUGCAACAAGUCUGUAGUACACGUUGUGUACAGAUCUCUAGUUAAAUCACCUUUAUCUUAGGAAGGAGAGUCGUCGGCUGGUAUGGAGUGGGUGGAAAGCUAAAGCAACCACUAUCAACUAUACGCUCCCCCGAACAGCCUUGUUAGUGAACUCCAGUGUAGGUCAACCUUUAGGUCAUGCUUAUCUGCAUCAUAUUGAGACCUAGGGGGACCCACUUGGUCUUUCAUAGGAAAUUCAUCCAUAAAGAAUCCCUACGUGCUAAUUGUUGCAUUUUUGGAGGGUAAUGAGGUUAUUUGACGGACUCAUUUGGGGAAAAUAGGUGUUAGAAGUAAAAUGUGUAGGCAAUGAAAAUUUGAAAAAAAAACAAAGAAAAAAAGGUGAAUCAAAAAAAGAGUUUUGUAGUUUAUUUUUAGAGUUCUUUAUGGUUUUUGUUCUUCACAACCCAAAAAAUUAAAAAAAAAUUACAUUUUGCAUUUAUUUUCUCAAAAUAACAAAAAUUCAAAAAAGAUUUUGUUUACCUUUUAUACUCAUUUGUCAAAAACAAAAACAUCAAAAAGAUUUUUCUUUUGUGUUUUUAGUAAGCAUUCAUAAUUCAAAAACUUCAAAAAGAUUUUUUUUACAACAGGAGAUUUUUAUAAAAGAAAAUGUCAAAAAGAUGGUAGAAGUUUUGUACGUUUCUUAUAACGAAAAUACCAAAAAGAUUUUUAUUUCAUAGUUAUUUCAUCGUUGUAGUAGUGUCUCAAGUUAGGGUUCAGUCGGUUAUUUAAUCCUUAAAUGUCCAAUCUGGACGAACUACGCGCCCCUGAUUCUCCUCUUUCGGGAUAUGAGAUACGUAGGCAGCCUAUUGUUGGUUCAGGGAUCGUAUUUAAAAAAACUCAAAAAGAUUUUCUUCACUCUUCACUUAGAGUAGGUGUUUCAUAUGCAUCUCUAAAAGAAAACUACAAAAAGAUUUUUCUUUAAUAGGUUCAAGUUCCAUUUUCAUAUGAAAUUUAAAACUGAAAACCCAAAAAGAUUGGCCAUUUUGGCAUGACUUCACGAACUACGCACACCUGAUUCUCCUCUCUCGGGAGUGAGAUACGUAGGCGCCCUUCCUGGGUUCAGUGAUCUUUUCAAAAAAUAACAAAAAAGAGAGGUUUUGAAAAAAUGUUGAACUCUAACAUAUUUGUUGUCUCUUGUUCAGUUAGUUUAAGGUGGUUGGUUUGUGGAUUCUGGGUCGUCCUCCAUAUCACACCAAAUCCAAGAAAGGUUUAGUUGUGUCUAACAAGGAUAUAGAGAGUGGCACUAUGGAUGAAACAAAGAGUCAGGAAAUUGAGAGUUUAAAGGAAGAGAAUUUGAGACUGAGACAACAAAUGAUGAAAAUGUAUCAAGCUUAGGCCAGUGAGCAGCCUCCAUCUCCGUUCCCCACUUUUGACCCUUCAAAUACCUUGAGUCUUUCACCAAAAUCGCAAAGUUAGUUUCCUACUGUUGUUGAUGCACCACAGCAUGCCUCGGAAUCCAUUCCACGUCAAAUACAUAUCAAUACUUCCACCACUCUUUCUUUAGCUCCUCAGUAUAAGUCUACCACAUUUACAACACCACAUACCAUCUAUGCUUUUGUUGCUCAACCUUCUACUAAGACUUCCACUUUAGCUAUCAAUCCAGCGAUUGUGCUUCCCCAGUCCACUAGUGAAUCCACGUUCAAUACUCUUGAUGAUCAUUUUUAUACUCUUGAGCCUACCGUUAAAUUAAGUGGACCGCCAAAAUUUCUUACUAAGAAGCCUAGCAUGCUAGAAGAUAUAGAGAAAGUGGUUGGGAAAUUUAAGAGUGUAGAAAAUGAUAUGAAAAAUUCCACUAGACUUAUGGGCUAUGAAGAUGUUUCAUAUAAAAACGGGGGCAUGUCUUCUAGUGUUAACCUUUCUCUCAGCUUUGAGACAUCAAAAUUUGGGGAGCCUAAUGGACAGAAGGAUUCUGUGAAACUUUUGGGACAACAUUGCAAUCAACCAAGAGAAACUGAAGGAAAGCAGAAAAAAAAUGCACCUAUUGUCAUGCCAGGGCCAAAGAAGAGUUUGAGAGGUCCAACCCUCCAAUACUGUCAGCCUCAAUCUCGAGCUUAUAUAUUAGAUCCACAUAACCACUUGCAACAAGGUUUCUUUCCCCAAAAUCCAAUAAAUCCCAUUCCACUUCCUCAAUAUCCUUUGAACAAUGCAGAAUUGUAUGCUCAUCCAUCUUCUUAUCCACAAUGGAAUGCAUUUAUCCCUCAACAUCGUCAUUGAACCCGACAAAUUUACCAAGGAACCUCUAAAUCCAAGUUUUAUCCAAGGCCGGAGUAUGCAAAGAGGAGGAAGGAAAAAGAUAAUUUCACUCCUAUUAGGGAAUCCUAUGCCAGUUUAUUCCAGAGAUUGGUAUAGCAGGGCAUGAUCGCUCUUCUUCUUGGAUAUACUCCUAACCCAUAUUCAAGAAUUUUGGAUCCUAAUGUAUGAUGUGCAUAUCAUUCUGAUGUUCAGGGUCACAGUAUUGAAGAUUGUCGUGCUUUGAAAAGAGAAAUUGAAAAGAUGAUUCAAGAUAAAUCAAUUAUGGUGUAGAAUAUUAACUAUAAGGAAAGCUCUAGUCAUGCUGAUAUGCAAAUCAGUGGCUAAGAUGCCAGGCUGAGAAAUUGAGAAGUCACCUCUUCCUCCUAGGAAGAGGUCUAGUAGUUUGUUUUGUCUUAUUUUCUGUUAUCCGAAUUAUUUCAGGGUUGUAGUUCGGGAUCUAUCUUGUUUUUGUCCCUUUUGUCAUUUAUGGUCAAACCUUUUCUAUCUUUUAUUUCAACUAAAUAAAGUGUUUUUUUCCUUUGUAUUUAAAUAUAUGUUAUUUGUUUGUUUUCUUUACAUAGUACAUUUUAUGUUGGCUUUAGUGAUAUGACAUGCUGGUGGAAUUCUUCGCUAUAUCUUAAAACCCAAUUUGAGCAUGAACUUUAAAUCAGAGGGCUAAAGUUGGAAAAAGCAUGUGAGAAAUAGGUAGCGUGUUAAGAAAUUUGGUGACCAUGUUGAAACCUUCUUUCAAAACUAAGGCAAUUGUUUUGAGAAUCACCAGAAUAACUUGGUCAUCAAUUGUAAGUCAUGCCUCAAUUAGGUCAAACAGUGGAUGUGUGAUUCUAUAUCAAGAGGAACAGAAAGAAAAUCAGCUCCACGAAAUCAUGAGUCAUUCAAUGUAAGAAAUGUACAAUAAAAGUGGAGUUGUAUGCUAGCAAAGUGCAGAAGAAGUAGCGACGCACAGACUCAGUUAAAGUUAAUGCUAUAAAAGAUAUUGCACAUGAUCUUCAUAUCCAACUUUCAAAUUGCAUGUUAUGUACUUGCAUCUUCAAAAAUUGAUAUGACGAAGGUAUUUCAUUCUGUUAUCCAAACAUUGUGUCAUCCUUUGCUUAUCCCAUUUUAGACUUAGUUUUAUUUUCUUUCAUACACCUCUUUUGGAAUCAAUAUAGAGUUAACAAAGCUCAAAAGAAAAGGUGUCGAGCAAAAUAGUAGAGUCAGAAAAGUUUCAGAAAAAAAAAAAAGAGCAUUGAGAAAAAUAAAGUCAGAAAAGUCCCAAAGAGAAAAAGAGUCAACAAAAGAAAAAAAAUCAAAAUCAAGCAAAAGAACAAGCUGCCAGAACUACGCAUGACCUGAUUAUCCUCUCUCGGGGGUGAAUUAUGUAGGCUGCCUUACUCUGAGCUCGGUCCUACCAAUAUAAAUAAUUUAGAGUCACCCAGACAAAAGAAACUGGCGCAUUAGUUAAUCCUCAUUGUUUGAGUCGAUUCCAAAAGUUGUAAGUCCUACCCCACUUCAAGUGUCGUUUGGGCCCCAUACCAUCCUUUCUUUCUAACUCUAUCCAAAAGUCAAGUUACAACCAAAGAAAGACCUUCAGAUCAAUCUUUGAUGAUGUUAAAGCUAAGCAUGCAACAGAUAUGAUGAUGCAUUUGGGAACUACUUGUCUUUUUCAACAUAAGAAAUCAGGAGAGAAAUAAAAAUAAGAGAAUCUUAUUGGUGAAAACCCUCACAGGCACCGUAAGACGAUGGUAAGUUGAGAGAGAUAAAAAUGAGAGAGUCUUAUUGGUGAAAACUCUAACGAGCACCAUAAGACGACUGUGAGUUAAGGGAAAUGAAGAUAAGAGAGUCUCAUUAGUGGAAAACCCUUACAGACACCAUAAGACAAUGGUGAGCUGAGGAAAAGAAAAUGAGAGAAGCUUGAUGGUGAAAACCCUUCAAGGCACCACUAGCCGAAUGGGGUCUUAAAUACAAUUGACCUAAGGAAGCAACUCAGUUUCAAGGCCAUUAAAUCAACAAAAAUGGGUAGAAAGUUUGGAUGAAAAGAUCAAGCUGCUUAAUCCAAAAUGCAUGGCAUAAUCAUUAGUGUUGACUAUCAUUUUUAGAUGAAUUUAUCGUUUCUUUGUUUCAAAAUGGGACAUUCAUUGUCUUUUCUUUCUUCUCUUUAUUUUUAUUUUAUCUUUCUUGGGUCAGUCUUCCAAACAAAAAUUGUCAUUAUUUUUUUCAUUUCUUGUCUUUGAGUUAAGUCCAUGUCAAAAUAAGUGAGAAAAGAUUUCAAAACUAGCUACCAGCUUCUUCAAUUGCAAAAAGUGAGACAAAAGGCCAACACAUGAAAGAGAUAUAAUUGUGAGCCGAAAUAAGGCAUACAGAAAGUUCUAUCAACAGACAAGUCUCGGACCUCAUGGAAAUACCAAAGUUCAAAGGGUUUAUCUGAGGAGCAUGGCAAAGCAAAGAUAUUGUAUUUGUUUCAAAGUCACUCUUAAUAAUCUGAGUUUGGGUCAAAGAUGCAUCAAGUCAAUGAUAUAUGUAAUGGUUGGAAGCAAGGUUAAAAGUGAGGACGGUAAGAGUGUUUUCCACGAAAGCCAAAGCCACAAACUUUCCUCCAUGUUUUUAAACUCACAACUUUUCUUUGCAUAAAACAGGAACACAUAACACCUUCAAAUCAAGGAUUUCAAAGCCUAAACAUCAAGGCCCCUAAUUUCUCUCUUUUACAAAUGCAGGAAGAAAUGUUGUUGCAUAGGUUUGAUAAUCAAACCAUGGUAAAAAUUUAUCAUCUUAUAUCCCUAGGAGACACACUUUCCUGUCUAGAGAUUUUAGUUUUCAUUUGCUGGGUGAUACACUUCUUAAAUUGAACCUUCACUCCUAGAAGAUGUACCUUCUAGUUGAGUCAUUCUCUUUUACUCUUGGAAGACAUAGCUUUUAGUCAAGUCAUCCCCCUUGAUUCCUAUAAGACGUACCUUUUAGUAGAGUCACCCCCCUUCAUUCCUAUAAGGCGUACCUUUUACUUGAGUCAUCCACCUUGAUUCCUAUAAGGAGUACCUUUUAGUUGAUUCAUUUCCCUAGAUUCCUAUAAGACGUACCUUUUAGUAGAGUCAUCUCCCUUUGAUUCCUAUCAGAUGUAUGUUUUAGUCGAGUCAUCUCUCUUUGAUUCCUAUAAGACGUACCUUUUAGUCUAGUCAUACCUCUUGAUUCCUAUAAGACAUACCUUUUAGUCUAGUCAUUCACCUUGACCCCUAGAAGACGUACCUUUUAGUUGAGUCAUCCCCCUUGAUUCCUAUAAGGCAUACCUUUUAGUCAAGUUAUUUCCCUGCAUUCCUAUAAGAUGUACCUUUUAGUCGACUCAUUCCCCUUAAUUCGUAUAAGGCGUACCUUUUAGUCGAGUCAUCUCUCUUGAUUCCUAUAAGACGUACCUUUUAGUUGAGUCAUUCCCCUUGAUUCCUAUAAGACGUACCUUUUAGUCGAUUCAUUCCCCUUGAUUCGUAUGAGAUGUACCUUUUAGUCGAGUCAUCUCUCUUGAUUCUUAUAAGACGUAUCUUUUAGUUAAGUCAUUCCCCUUGAUUCCUAUAAGACGUACCUUUUAGUCGAGUCAUCUCCCUUGACCCCAAGAAGAUGUACCUUUUAGUCGAGUCGUUCCAUUGAUUCCUAUAAGACAUACCUUUUAUUCGAGUCAUUCCUCUUUGAUUCCUAUAAGACGUACCUUUUAGUCGUGUCAUUCCCCUUGAUUACUAUAAGAUGUACCUUUUAGUCGAGUCAUCUCCCUUGACCCCUAGAAGACAUACCUUUCAGUUGAUUCGUUCCAUUGAUUCCUAUAAUACAUACCUUUUAGUCGAGUCAUUCCCCUUGACCCCUAGAAGACGUACCUUUUAGUCAAGUUAUCCCCUACGCUUCCUAGAAGACGUACCUUUUAGUCGGGUCAUUCCCUUGACCCCUAGAAUACGUACCUUUUAGUCGAUUCAUUCCCCUUGAUUCCUAUAAAACGUGCCUUUAGUCGAGUCAUUUCCUUGACCCCUAGAAGACGUACCUUUUAGUCGAGUCAUCCCCUUUAAUUUCUAUAAGCCGUACCUUUUAGUCGAGUAAUCCCCUUUGAUUUCUAUAAGAUGUACCUUUUAGUCGAGUCAUUCCCUUUGAUUCCUAUAAGACGUACCUUUUAGUUGAGUCAUCCCCUUUGAUUCCUAUAAGACGUACCUUUUAGCCGAGUCAUCCCCUUUGAUUCCUAUAAGAUGUACCUUCGAGUUGAAUCAUUCCAAUUAAUUCAUAGAAGAUGCAUUUCUUUGUUUAGGAUAAUUUUCUUUUUAGUUUUGAUGUGAUUUCAGGAGCCGCCUGAAGAAUAGGGCGAAUAAAUGAAAAUUCAAGUAACAAGGUAAAGAAAUUGAAAGUCAACAAAUCAAAAAAUAACAAGUCGGGAACCCUCCUGAAAAAUAGGGUGAAGAAAUUAAAAACCAAGCAACAAGUGAUAAAAUUGCAAGUUGGGAGCUCGCCCGAAAAACAGAUUGAAAAAUAGCAAGUCAGGAACCCAUAUGAACAAUAAGGUGAAGAAAUUACAAGUCAGGAGCCCGCCUGAAGAAUAGGGUGAUAAAGUAGCAGUCAAUAGAUCAAAAGAAGCUGGAUAGAUAGGAUUUUUGUAAUUUCAUUUAUGUUUUAACUUGAAAUUUUUAUUUUUGAUGUAAUAAUAGAGCCGUAGACCGGAACCUCGAUGGAACCUCACUCGACUCUCCAACUCGGUAAAGUCCUUCUCCGUCCAAUCCUUUAAGAUACCUAUCACCUGAUUCCCUUAUAACUUGGGGUUGGUAGGAUGUCCUAAUGUCAAGACCCGUUUUCUUUUUUUCCUUCUGUUUCUCUGAAUAAUGGUCGGAACAAAAUUUAGUCUUGUUGUCUACUUCUUUGUAUGAAAACACUUCGUGUUUACAUUCAAAGGGGGCAUGAUGUAGACACCUAAUUUUGUCCCUCCCGAUAUCAUUUUUACCCAUUUUACCUUAUCCAACCGUGUACCCCCAUCCAUGUUAUUAUACCUUCCAUAAAAUGACAAAAAAUAACAACCCCUAACUAAUUUUAUUUUUAUUCUAACAACAUAUCCAAUCAAAAAUAAAUAGCCACUACCCCACCUACCCUAACAAAUUUUAUCCUAACCAACUCACCCUACCCUACGUCACUACCUUAGAUCCCCCUCCCCUUUUCUUUAACAGAAUUUUGUAUAAGAGGGACCUACAGAAGAUUCCCCAAUUUUACUCUACAUACACCUGUACAUAUGCAUAAAAGAGGGACCCUAUUAUGAUCAUUUCUUUUCACAAGAGACACAAAAUAGGAUUCCAUAUUUUUUUUUCUUCUUGACCAAUUCAUAUAUACACAUAAGAGAACAAAUACAAAAUACACACAAAAAUCAUCUUCUCCACCAGGAAAAUCACACAAUCCUCACCGACUCUCACUCUCACAGAUAAUACUUAUACAUAUUUACUUCCAUUUCCAAAAAGAGAGGAAUCACUAAUCCUCACCAAAUACACUCACUACCCUCUCACUAUAGCACAUACGCACAGUAGAGUUCGAUAAAGAGAUGAGGACAGAUAGCAAGUAGGAACAACGAAGAGGGAGAGAUCGAGAGAUCCGCGAGAGAGAGUUCAGAGAGGAGAUUGUGAAAUUGAAAGAGAGAGGCAGAAACAGACAUUCACUGACUGUUUUGGUAAUUUCUCAUCGGGGAACAUCACCGGUCGCCGUCCAAAUCCGAUGGUUUUCUAUGAAAACUCAUUUGACGUUCCACAGAUCCAUCAGAAAACCAAUAAAUUAAGAUUCGUUUGAGAUCAUUCUUAGCCUAAUCGGAGUUUCGGGUUCAUCGGAUUGGAGAUUUGAGUCGCAGAUUCAUUGUUGCAAUUCAAGUAGAGGUUUUAGGAUGCGGUCUCGAUAUUUGGUCACGUAAUUUGUACUAAUAAAGAUUUAAUUGAGGUCUGAUUCUACUCUCUCACUCUUUUUGCUUCAUUUUUGAUGAUAUCUGGUGCAUUGAAUUCAAUAUUGUGUAUUGUUUGAUCCUCGUUGGUGAUGAAUGCAUAUUUAUUUUGAUUCGUGGUUGGUUUUUCUUGAUUAUGGUUUGGUGAAAUGGUAUCUCAAUUGAGAAUUGAAAUUGGGUGUUUGGGCAGAAUUAAGAAAUUGAUACAAAAAAAAUUGAAUUUGGAUUGAUUAAGAUUCAUUGGUUUUGGUUUAAGUAUGAAUAUUGUCGAACACGAUAGUAGCAUGAUUAGGUCAUUAAUUCGAUGGGCAAAUUCUAGGUUUUGGGGUAGGCAACUUGUAGGAUUUAAUCAUCGAAUGUGUAAAUGUUUGUGCUGGGUGAUUUUCCCAUUUUUAUUGUAUUAAAAUGUACUCAUUUGGCCGGAAAAUUCCCCGAGAGAUUGUAUUGAUUUAUUCGGGGAAUGCCCCGAUUAUCAUGUAUGCAAAGGAGGUUCGUGAUAAAGAUCUGAGGCAUCGGGUCAAGCAUUGGAGCAUAGUCUAGGAUUAGUUUAGAAUACGAUUUACACUUCUGUAUUUUUAAUUUUUCAGGACUGUAUAAUUGGACUGAACAUUAUUAUUUUGAUUUUGAAUUAUUUUUUGAUGUGUUUGGUGAUUGUUUAUCUGUUUUACGUGGUUUAUACAUUUGUAAUGUCAUAUUAAUCGAUAUGUUCCAUCAAGCGACCGUGGUCGAACCACGGGAUCGAGGGAUGCCUAACACCUUCCCCUCGGUCAACAGAAUACCUUAAUUGGAAUCUCUGUUCGCGGAUCAGUUUUAGAGUCAAACCAUUUUGAAAAGGAUUUUCAAAGGUGACUUGGCACACCCGAUUUAUGCCAAGUGGUGACUCUAAGUUUUGAAUAUAAAUAAUCUUUUUUGAAAAAAAAUUUCACUUUUUGUCACAUUGAUAAUAAAACCCUUUCGACUCUUAAAUGAUAAUCUUUUUGGUUGAAAAGAAAGGAUGUGACGGCUCCUUUUCUAACCAAAAAAAAUUUCAUUUUAAGGGUCGAAAGGGUUUUAUUAUUAAACUGACAAAAGAUUGAAAAUUUGCUUCAAAAAGGAUUCAUUAUAUUCAAAAAAUUCAGGGUCGCCACUUGGCAUAAAUCGGGUAUACCAAGUCACCCGUGGAUAUCCUUUUCAAAACGGUUUUGACUCUAAAACUGACCCGCGAACAGACAUUCUCACUAAGAAAUUUUGUUGACCGAAGAAAAGGUGUUAGGCACCCCUCGAUCCCAUGGUUCGACCACGGUCGCUCGGUGGAGUAUAUCGGCUAAUUUGAUACUACAAAUAUAUAAACCACACAAAAACACACAAAAUAACCAAACCAAACAAACGAAAGUUCAAAUAUUAAUGUCCAGUCCAAUUAUUACAAACCCAAAAUACAAAAAUGCUAAAAUGUAAACCUAUACUAAUCCUAGACUACGCUCCACCCGGUGCCUCAGCUCUUGAUCACAAACGUCCUUUCGGUACAAAAUACCUCGGGGCAUCCCCUGAUGAAUGAUACAAAUGGCUUCAGGGAAUUCCCGGCUAAAUGAAUACAAUUGAUUCAAAUGCUGUAAAUAAAACCAUUCAACACAUAUCCAAACAUUCCAACAAUCCACAAGUUCUAAAUUUGCCUACCGAGCCUACUGUUUACCUAUCAUAUCACAAUUCUAUCAUGCUCUACAUCAUCAAUGUAUAAAAAUUAAUGAAAAUUCAUUUUUAUCAAUCCCUAACAUCCGACCCUAAAUCAAUGAUUUUUAUAUUCUAUCCAUUAGCCAAUAAAUUUCACCUAAUUCAACGUAUACAUCAAUUCGAACAACUAAUUCAACAACAUCAAACUAGAUAUUCAAUCAGCUAAACUAACAUCAAACACCACGUAAUUCACUGACAUAUUUGGAAAAUCAAAAUGAGCUAUUGAGAUAAGAGUAAAACUGGGACCUCAAUCGAGCUUUAAGUAUGCAGAAUACAGAUCGAAACAUGGAGCUUCACCACCGGACCUCGACUGAAGAACCUCAACGAUGAACAACAACUCGUCAAACUUCGAUCGGACCUCCAUUCGAAUCAAUAGCCAAAACAGAAACCAAAUUGACCUUUUCCGGUGUAAUAUUCUACGUGCGUGUGCGAUUUAUGCCUCAAUCUUGGUGAAGAAGAUAACCCCUAUAUUUUAGUGAAUACCCAUCUCCCUUUUCGACUCUCUCUCUCGUCUCUCUGAUUUCAGUCCCUCUCUCUUUCGAUCUUUCCCUCUCACUGGUCAGUAUCUAUGGCGGUGUAUAUAUGUGGUCAUCUAUGAUAAGGGUUAGUAUUGUGAUAUUAAUAGAAGAAGAUGGUAGUGUGUGUAUUAUGAAGAAGAACCAAUUCCUAGGAAUUUUUGUUUUCUCUGUAUAUUCAAAAAAAAUGAGAGCUUCUCUGGGUUUUUUUUUUGCGUAUAUGGUGACUGGUCUCUGAGGAAGAUGACUUCUGACGGUCUUUUUUCUUUUGGUGAUGGUGAUAUAUGGGGAGUAUAUGCUAGUGAGAUCCAAUCAAUG
RNAcentral lists this long non-coding RNA (26449 nucleotides) under Capsicum annuum. RNAcentral describes it as "long non-coding RNA (CANN_LNC015183)". The record is from RNAcentral. Lineage: Eukaryota; Viridiplantae; Streptophyta; Magnoliopsida; Solanales; Solanaceae.